RNAcentral lists this long non-coding RNA (2238 nucleotides) under Cervus hanglu yarkandensis (Yarkand deer). Its description in RNAcentral is "lncRNA (ENSCHYG00000004066.1)". The record is from RNAcentral. Lineage: Eukaryota; Metazoa; Chordata; Mammalia; Artiodactyla; Cervidae.
AUGCGGAAGAUCAGCAUGACCACCAGCCACAGGCGGCCCACGAGCGGCGACUGCAGCUGCACGGCGUCCAGCAGCGAGCCGAGGAACGCCCACUCCCCCAUGGCGCUGGAGAUGGACGCGGGGCAGGCAGUCAGAGGCCGAGGGACCAGGGUCCCAGCCCUCCGCGCCCAUCGGGGUGGGGUCAGCUGGACCGCCUCUAACUUCGAGGCAGCGGAGGGAGAAAGCGAUGAAGUGGUAGAAGCGGCCGCAAGAACAUCUCUCCAAAAAGUCCCCAGAGGCUGCCACGUGACCCACCUGCUCACAUAUCAUUGGUCUUCUCUCUGCAAGGAAGCCUGGGAGAUGGCGUCUUUAUUCUCAGUGGCCUUGCGUAGAAGAAGCGAGAAUGUAGCCCUGACUGUCAGAAGACCACUUCUAGUAUUCACCUUCCGCACUGAGAUGGGGAGUCAGGCAGAGUCGGUUUCCCCCAGGUCUGCCCCCACUAGCUGCUCCCUGAGGAAGGAGGAGGCCGCCUCAGUCUACCUUGUCCUCAGGUCCUGCCAAACCAGUGCGCCUUCAUUCACAUGCCUCUGCCAAGCCUUUGCUCUCGUCCUUGGGCAGAAGAGUCACUAUUGCCAACUGGAGGCCCCACCUGGUCUCUUUCCCCAGGUCACACUUUUCUAGGUUGUACGUGUGGCAGCUUUGUUCAGUAAGGACGAUAACUGGGCCUGAGGGUGGUUGGGCCCUGCAGGCCGCCUCAUCUGAGAGACAAAGAGACUUGGGAGUUCCUCUUCCUUUCCUCGAAAGCCUAGAGUGAAAGACGGAGGAGAGAAACUGCUUUGCGACUGAGGUGGGGAAGGGGACAGGUUUGUUAUCAAGAGGCGUCUUUCCAAGUCCCAUUUCCCUCCCCAGAGCUCUGAAUAGCUGAUAUUUAUAACUGCCGAGAUCCGUAAGCUGCUACAAUCGCUGCUGCUGGACUGGUGACCCGCUCUCCAUCACCCUGGGGCAGAAGUGGGAUCAGGUUGACUCCAGAUCAGUUGGUGGGUAGACCAAAGUAACUCCCUCCCUGAAAGCGAUACUCCUGGGUGGAAAGGAGUGCUGCCCACCAGGUCCUGGAAAAUUACAGAAAGACUAGAAGACAAAGUCACUUAUGGAUUCGGCUUCCUUUCCUCCAGUUAAAAUAUCUUUUGCAUUCACCGGGAUGUAUUGGGGCCACCUUGAGGCCACUGAAGAUACUGCCUUACUCAAAAGAAACAAAUCUGACUCCAGAAAUUACUGAGGAAAAAUGUAAGGGGGGGUGGUGUAAAAUGAUACAGCUGCUUUGAAAAGUUCCGCAGGUUCUUAGAAAGGCAAAGAUUUAUUAAAUAACCAACAAUUCCACUUCUAGGUAUCUACCCAAGAGAUAUGAAAAAAUAUGCCUAUAAACAAGGUUUGUAUUCUCACGUUCAUGACAGUUUUACUUAUAAUGGGCCCAAACUGGAAACAACUCAACUGUCCGUCAACAGGUGAAUGGAUAAACAAAUCCAUACAAUGGAAUGCGUGCGCGCGUGUGCGUGUGUGCGCGUGUGUGCGUGUGUGUUAGUCGCUCAGUUGUUUCUGACUUUUUGUGACCCCAUGGACUAUAGCCCACCAGGCUCCUCUGUCCAUGGAAUUCUCCAGGCAAGAAUACUGGAGUGGGUUGCCAUUCCCUUCUCCAGGGGAUUGUCAGGAUCCAGGGAUAGAACCUGGGUCACCUUCAUUGCAGUCAGAUUCCUUACUGUUUGAGUCACCAGAGAAGUCCUACAACGGAAUAAUGUUCAGCAAUUAAAAAAAAGAAUGACUACUUGAUACCUAAAUAUGGUUAAAUUUCAAAAACAUGAUGUCAAAUGAAAGGUUGGACACAAAAGCAUAAAUACAUAUACAUAUAUAUGUAUAUGAAGUUAAAAGCAUAUAUAUAUAAAGUUCUAGAAUAGGUAGAAUUAACCUAUAAUGGUAGAAAUCAGAUCAAUGUUGGGGGUCAGGAUUGAAGAGACACUUAAGAAUUUUGGGGAGUGAUGGAAAAGUUUUAUAUCUUGUUAGUGAUGGUGGGUAUGCAUUUGUCAAAAGUCAUCAAUAUGUAUACUUAUAGUGAGUGCAUUUUAUGUAUGUAAAUUAUACCUCAAUAAAGUUGAUUUAAAAAGAAAAAAGUAAUGUUGGUUUGUGUUGAAAUUCUUUUGCAGGAGUGAUGAGGGUGAUUAAGACUUUUUAAAAGUCAUUUUUACACCUCUCUCUCCAACUCUUUUG